CAGCCGCCGCGGGAAAACAGAGGAUGCAAGCGUUAUCCGGAAUGAUUGGGCGUAAAGCGCACGUAGGCGGUUAUUCAAGUCAGAGGUGAAAGCCCGGGGCUCAACCCCGGAACUGCCUUUGAAACUAGAUGACUGGAAUCUUGGAGAGGUCAGUGGAAUUCCGAGUGUAGAGGUGAAAUUCGUAGAUAUUCGGAAGAACACCAGUGGCGAAGGCGACUGACUGGACAAGUAUUGACGCUGAGGUGCGAAAGCGUGGGGAGCAAACAGGAUUAGAUACCCCUGUAGUCCCUGUCUCUUAUAC
Molecule: ribosomal RNA, 301 nt
Filed under: uncultured bacterium
Lineage: Bacteria
Description: partial 16S ribosomal RNA
Rfam family: Bacterial small subunit ribosomal RNA
Source: RNAcentral